AUAGCUCAGUGGUUAAGAGCACUGGCUAGUGUCACAGAGGGCUUGGGUUCAAUUCCCAGU
Molecule: transfer RNA, 60 nt
Filed under: Neotoma lepida (desert woodrat)
Lineage: Eukaryota; Metazoa; Chordata; Mammalia; Rodentia; Cricetidae
Rfam family: tRNA
About the family: Transfer RNA (tRNA) molecules are approximately 80 nucleotides in length. Their secondary structure includes four short double-helical elements and three loops (D, anti-codon, and T loops).
Source: Rfam by way of RNAcentral